AUCAGGGGCGCCACCUGGUGGCCGGAGUCUCAGCCAUGGAAGCCUCGGACCAGACCUCUGUCCAGGUGUGCCAGUGUCCCGGGUGGGCUCAAAAGACACUCAGGUACGCUUCCCAGUUAGCACAGGUGACACAGGAAGCCGAGGGACCCUAAAGAAAUCCACACGGGGCUGGAGUUUCACGCCCAGUACCAGCCUCUCUUCCCACACACUUCGGUUUCCUUCCAGACUUUUCUCCACACACCCAGGUACUUGCUAAUGUAAAAAGUGAGUUGCAGCCCACAGAAUCAGGAAGCUGAUGGGCUCCCACGCACUUCAAGAUGGGGGGGUUCUCCCUCUCUGUCAGCUGAGAUUUCUUCUGGUGGGCAGAGAGUGGCGGCGAGAUAACACCAGACGGGGGUGUGACCAGGAGCCAGGUGAGCUUCUAGACGUCUCCUCCCCCCCUUGUUCUCCCUCCACUGAGGAAGAUGAGGAAGACGGAAUGACCACAGACCUCACCAAGGGGAUAGGGAGUGGGACUGGGGGCAGAUGUCACCCUACAGAGUUCCUUCUGUCCACAAAGGUGGCAUCUCACGACAACCACCGGCCUUUGCCUGUCCCAGGGCUCCUUGACCUGUGGUCUGCCUGUUUGCCUGCUGGAGGUGGGAAUGUGGUAGCCAAGACAGAGCAGAUCCACCUGGAGGCACCUCAGCCCCAGGGACUGUCAGCGGGUAUCUGCUGUGCUUCCCCUGGGAUGUGCUUCUCAGUGGGGGCUCCCUGGCCACUUGUCCUGUUCUCUGAUUCAGAGGGCUUCGGAGCACAGAGGCCACUUCCACAUCGUUGGCCGGGGGAAUGAAGCAACUUCACAGCGACCUGUCUGCUCUUGUCACUUGUGGAAGAGGCGAGGCGAGGACCUGGUGGGAGGUCAUUGUCACACCAGGCGUACCUACCCAUUGCUUCCGUGAGACUAACUUUGAGGGGACCACGACAUCCCGACAGCCUACGGCCCCUUCCAAGGACACCCUGGGAUUCAUUUAAGCUUCCGUUUUCCAGAUGGGGAAACUGAGGCUUGGGGAGGGGAACAACAAAUAGAGCUGCACAUAUGCUGAGUGUCCAAGGACCCCGUCAGUCACUUUCCGCUCGGGAAAGUUAGGGGUGGGGGUGGGGGCUCUCCCUGGCUGUGUGACUCGUGGUUCCUGGGCUAGUGUGUAACAUGUCACUGGUGCAGCUGUCUGUGUGGAGACGUUUCCCCACCCCAGGUGCUGCUGUGUUGUGAGUUGGGCUGGAGUACAAGACGGGCCAUUCAGGGUGUCACAGCCCAGAAUGCAAACUGACUGGAGGACAGCCAGCACUAACCAGGGCCUACUGAGUUCUGUUCCAUAAGUCCUGUGUGACUGUCACACUCAAACCAGGCCGUGUUACCCCUGGCAAAUAGUUCAACUUCCCCGAGCUCCUUGAAACGGACAGUUCUUCACACAUAGCCAUGGUGGGUUUGGUGUCGUGAUGCAAGACUCCAGGAACCUACUGGAUGCCUAGCCGCACGAGUGCAGGGCACAGGAGUCCUCUGCCUGGCCCACCUGAGACCCUGAAGUUCACUGGGCAUUGAGCUGUUUCCAGUUCCUGGCUCUUAUGACUAGGGCAGCAGUGAACACGGCGGGGCAAGUGUCUCUGUGGUAGGAUGAACAGCCCUUUGGGUACCUGCCCUGGCGAGGUGUAGCUGGAUCUCAAAGCAUGAGGAACCUCCUCCAUGGAUUUUCACAGAGUUUGUACUCACACCAGCACUGGAGGAGUGUCCCCUACCCCCACAUCCUCAUCACCACGAGCUGUCGUCUGUUUUAUUGCCCUUGGCCAAUUCUGACUGGUGUGAGACUACAUUUUGAAGUAGUUUUGAUUUGGAUUUCCCUGAUGGCAAAGACGUUGAACAUUAAACAAAAAACUUUGUCAGACACCGGUGUUUAAUCUGAGAAUUUUCGGCUUAGAUCUGUAUGCUGCAUAUAUAUCCGUUUUCCUUAGGUCCUGUUUUUCGAGUUCUUUGCAUAAGCUGGAUAGUAUCAGAUGCAUAGGUGCUAAACAUCUUUCCCGUUCCACAGGCUGUCGCCGUGUCCGAAUGCUGGCGUCCUCGGCCUCAGUAGCUUUCCACUGCGCUCAGGUCCGUUUAUCAAAUGUUGACCUCAGCACCUGCUGAUGGCGGUCUGUUCAGAAAGUCUCCUCCUGGGCCAACGCGUGCAAGGCACCCCCAUCUUCUCUUUAUCAGACUCUGUAUCUGGCUUUGUGUUGACUUUUGGAUCCAUUUGGGGUCGAGUUCUGUGCAGGGUCAUAAGUAUCUGCCUUCUUCCACAUGCGGACAAGUUUGGCCAGCACCAUUUAUUGAAGAUGCUGUCUUUUUUUCCCCCAGUGUGUAUUUCUGGCUUUUUUUUUUUUUUUUUAUUUUUAAAUCAAAGAUCAGGUAUCUAUAGGUGUGUGGACUUAUGUCUGGGUCUUCAAUUCAAUUUCACUGAUCAAUGGGUGUUUUUAAUGCCAAUGCGAUGUGGUUUUUAUCACUAUAGCUCUUUGGUACAGCUUGAAAUCGGGAAUGGGGAGAUCUCCAUCCACCUACUUAUCAUGCAGGAUUGUUUUAGAAAUCUUAGAUUUUUUUUCUCCAUAUGAAACUGGGAGCUGUCCUUUCAAGUGAUGGGGAUUGCAUGGAAUCUGUAGAUUGCUUUUGGUAGGAAGGCCACGUUUGCUAUGUCAGCCCUACCCAUCCAUGAGCUUGGGAGAUGUUUCCAACUUCUGAUGUCUUCUCCAAUUUCCUUUUUCAAAGACUUGAAUUCUUUUACUUGCUUGAUACUUGAUAUGAUCUGAAGCUAUUGUGAAAGGCCUUGUUUCCCUGAUUUCUUUGUCGUUCGUAUGUAGGGGGGCAACUAAUGUUUUGUGAGUUGGUUUUGUACCAGCUACUUUGCUCGAAGUGUUUCUCGGCUGUAGGAGUUCCUUGGUAGAAUUUUUAGGGUCGCUUAUGUAUACCGUCCUACCAUCUGCAAAUAGCGAUACUUUGACGUCGUCCUUUCCAACCUGCACCCCCUUGGUCUGCUUCAGUUGUUUUAUUGCCCUGGCUAAAACCUCAAGCACUGGAUUGUACAUAUGGAGACUGUGGACAACUCUGUCUUCUUUCUGAUUUUAGUGGGAUCACUUCGAGUUUCUUUCCGUCUACGCCGAGGCUGUCUACGGGCUGCUGUAAAUCGCCUUUAUUAUGUAUAAGUGUCUUCUUUGUAUCCCUGAUCUCUCGGAGACUUUUAUAAUGUCUUAUGUUAUUAAACUUUCGAGAUGUAAUACAAUCCCAGCUGCACAAAGAAACUUAAUUCCAUUGACCUCAACUCAGGGCGCAUGUCAUCUCUUCCAGGAAGGUUCUAGAGAAACCAUACCUGUAUUAGCUUAAGGGUCUAAGGGUCUAGCCUGGUCUCUGUCAGACAGAUAGGGUAGAGGUCAU
Molecule: non-coding RNA, 3439 nt
Organism: Rattus norvegicus (Norway rat)
Lineage: Eukaryota; Metazoa; Chordata; Mammalia; Rodentia; Muridae
Source: RefSeq, a predicted model, not a curated record